GUUUGGGUAGCUCAGUAGGUAGAGCAAAGGACUGAAAAUCCUUAGGUCGUUGGUUCAAUCCCAGUCUCAGACA
Molecule: transfer RNA, 73 nt
Filed under: Sargassum hemiphyllum
Lineage: Eukaryota; Phaeophyceae; Fucales; Sargassaceae
Also listed under: 1 other name
Description: tRNA-Phe
Rfam family: tRNA
About the family: Transfer RNA (tRNA) molecules are approximately 80 nucleotides in length.
Source: RNAcentral